RNAcentral lists this transfer RNA (87 nucleotides) under Patescibacteria group bacterium. Its description in RNAcentral is "tRNA-Ser". It matches the Rfam family "tRNA". Rfam says of the family: Transfer RNA (tRNA) molecules are approximately 80 nucleotides in length. Their secondary structure includes four short double-helical elements and three loops (D, anti-codon, and T loops). The record is from RNAcentral.
GGAGGAUUGACCGAGUGGCCGAUGGUGCUUCCUUGGAAAGGGAGUGUACGAGUAAUCGUACCGUGGGUUCGAAUCCCAUGUCCUCCG